Homo sapiens (human) is the source of this 1076-nucleotide long non-coding RNA. NCBI's taxonomy places the organism in Eukaryota, Metazoa, Chordata, Mammalia, Primates, Hominidae. The record is from Ensembl.
GAAGAUAAGCCCGUUCCUCUCUCUGGUAUAUUCUUUGCUUAAUAAAUCUUGUGGGGUGGUUAUUUGUGUGUCUCAUCCAAUUCUUUGUUCAUAACACCAAGAACCUGGAACUCCCAACUUCCAAUCUGGUAACAUAUUUUGGUGAGCCAGCCAGGAGGGUCAAGCCUGCAAUACCUAAAGCUCCAGACCUGGAACCCAAAGCUCCCAUCAGUCGCUACCCUGUGAACCUGUGGAGGAUCUGAAGUACCUGUUUAAAAGGCAUCCAAAAGAUAGAAUCUAUCAAGCUACAAAUGGCUAUGUUGCCUGAAGCCCCAGACAUCAUCCUACAAGAAAUAAGUCCAGACUUCUUAAUUUCCCCCUGGAUAGAGCAGGGUAAGAGUUCUGUGGUCCCCUGUUAGGUGGGGCCAGCAGUCCCACUCAGCUGGAAGCAAGUAUAGAAGAAAGAACUUCAACCCUCAGCAACCUAUUAUGAUUUAUGGGGAUCACAUCUCUCAGAGGGAAUUGAGGCAGGAGAAUAGGGAAGGAAGUCAGAAAAUCAACCUGCAGCCUUUUCUCACCAAAACAAGCAUAAGGCACCAUCUGAUAAGGAAGCUGAAGCAAUGAACCAAUGCUUUCUGCAGUAAACAAAUCUGGUAUAACCUUUUAUUAUAAUAAGUUACUUAAAGCCCAUACAUAUGGAAUGCAUAUCAUACAUACACUUAAAAUUAUGGAAUGGCAAGCACAUGCAGGCGCACUGAGAGAGAAAACCAACAAGAAAACUGAUAUGUCAAUUAUAGGCAACCUCCUCCCUAAAAGUUAAGUAAGAGUAGUAAGGUGGUAUAAAAGAACAAAGGCUAUGUUAACCCAGGGCUGAUACCACUCGCGGAUCAGCCCAUUCUUCUCUCUGGAACAUUCUUUGCUUAAUACAUCUUGUGGGGUCAUUAUUUGUGUGUCUCCUCCAAUUCUUUGUUUGCAACACCAAGAACCUGGAAAUCCAACUUCCAAUCUGGUAACACUUCUACUCUAAAAAUGUGCUUACUCUUUGUAUAGCAUGUAACUGCUCUAUUGGUUGUACCCAUUCAUAUAUUAAUGUUUCC